UGCGUAGGCGGGGCAAUUAGUCAGUGGUGAAGUCCUGCGGCUUAACCGUAGAACUGCCAUUGAUACUGUUGCUCUUGAGUAUAGUUGAGGUGGGCGGAAUGUGUAAUGUAGCGGUGAAAUGCAUAGAUAUUACACAGAACACCAAUUGCGAAGGCAGCUCACUAAGCUAUAACUGACGCUGAGGCACGAAAGCGUGGGGAGCGAACAGGAUUAGAUACCCUGGUAGUCC
Molecule: ribosomal RNA, 229 nt
Filed under: uncultured bacterium
Lineage: Bacteria
Description: partial 16S ribosomal RNA
Rfam family: Bacterial small subunit ribosomal RNA
Source: RNAcentral